GAGUUCAUGUGUUAAAUAAUUGUUUUGAGUUCAAUUGACUCAAUGGGGGAAUACAGUGUACAGUACUUGUAUACUACUGCAGCAAUUAUGAAAUGUAAUCAAACAAUUUACUGUGGGAAUGCAAUGAGUACAAGACAUCCAAGCUUACCAGAGACUGACUUGUAGUAGGGAUUACUUUCCUUGAGGUGCCAGACAGUUUUGCCCUUUUACGUGGAUGCUUUUUUGGGGGGCUGGACAGAACAGACCUUCCUGAUGGUCGCUUUAUGGGGGUGCUCCUCUGCGAUGAACAUUCUGAAGAACUAUAUUUAUCCAGGGACUGUGAAACAUUUUCUUCCUCUGAUGUGGUUUCAAGAAUAGUUGGUUUCUUGUUCUGAAAAUUUAUAUUCAAUAUUUAAUUUAAUAAAUGAUUUAGUUUUCCAAUUCAGGCUUAAAACGUGCACGUCUCAGAUAAUUGUUAGAAGUGGGCCCCAUGUUAAAAUAACUACAUCUAGCAAUAAAGAUGGGUACGACCUCUAACCACAAAUUGUAUUCACAACUCACAACACUGAUUGAAACAUAACAAGAAAUCUGCACAAAAUACUUCAUAUUUACAUUUCGUCAUUUAGCAGACUUCAUAUGGGCACACAUAAUCUUUUUGGGCUUUGCAUUCGAGAGUAUUUCAAUUGAGUUGAAGUGUAGCAAAGCCCCUGUUUGUUUACAAUGUUACCGAAUGUUCAAAUGGGAGUCAAAUCUAUCAUAGAUACAUUUUGGUGACAUUAUAGUGGUGGUUGCUAGGUUGUUGCCAGGGUAAUUAAGACAGUCGCUAGGGUAUAUUAGGUGGUUGCUAUGCCACAUAAAGCGACAAGGUAAAGGAUCAUGGGAAUCUAGGUAACUCAAAAGUAUUGAGUUUCUCAAUA
This is a long non-coding RNA of Clupea harengus (Atlantic herring), 896 nucleotides long. The record is from Ensembl. NCBI's taxonomy places the organism in Eukaryota, Metazoa, Chordata, Actinopteri, Clupeiformes, Clupeidae.